GGCUAGCUAGCUCAGCGGUAGAGCAUCGCAGCGCAUACUAUGAGGCGUGCGCCGCUUCUCCCAAAAGAAGCAGCGCGUGCCUCGUGCUUCACGAAGAGUUGGGUUCGAGUCCCAAGCUGGCCA
Non-coding RNA from Tephrocybe sp. NHM501043, 123 nucleotides. The record is from the annotation of a GenBank genome assembly. NCBI's taxonomy places the organism in Eukaryota, Fungi, Basidiomycota, Agaricomycetes, Agaricales, Lyophyllaceae.